Molecule: long non-coding RNA, 624 nt
Filed under: Homo sapiens (human)
Lineage: Eukaryota; Metazoa; Chordata; Mammalia; Primates; Hominidae
Description: non-protein coding lnc-SCARB1-1:1
Source: RNAcentral
GAGCCGCGGCUAAGGAACGCGGGCCGCCCACCCGCUCCCGGUGCAGCGGCCUCCGCGCCGGGUUUUGGCGCCUCCCGCGGGCGCCCCCCUCCUCACGGCGAGCGCUGCCACGUCAGACGAAGGGCGCAGCGAGCGUCCUGAUCCUUCCGCCCGGACGCUCAGGACAGCGGCCCGCUGCUCAUAAGACUCGGCCUUAGAACCCCAGUAUCAGCAGAAGGACAUUUUAGGACGGGACUUGGGUGACUCUAGGGCACUGGUUUUCUUUCCAGAGAGCGGAACAGGCGAGGAAAAGUAGUCCCUUCUCGGCGAUUCUGCGGAGGGAUCUCCGUGGGGCGGUGAACGCCGAUGAUUAUAUAAGGACGCGCCGGGUGUGGCACAGCUAGUUCCGUCGCAGCCGGGAUUUGGGUCGCAGUUCUUGUUUGUGGAUCGCUGUGAUCGUCACUUGAUCUUCGUGAAGACUCUGACUGGUAAGACCAUCACCCUCGAGGUUGAGCCCAGUGACACCAUCGAGAAUGUCAAGGCAAAGAUCCAAGAUAAGGAAGGCAUCCCUCCUGACCAGCAGAGGCUGAUCUUUGCUGGAAAACAGCUGGAAGAUGGGCGCACCCUGUCUGACUACAACAUCCA